RNAcentral lists this ribosomal RNA (253 nucleotides) under uncultured bacterium. Its description in RNAcentral is "partial 16S ribosomal RNA". It matches the Rfam family "Bacterial small subunit ribosomal RNA", at positions 524 to 776 of the family's 1533-position model. The record is from RNAcentral.
UACGUAGGGGGCAAGCGUUGUCCGGAAUCAUUGGGCGUAAAGAGCGUGUAGGCGGUCCGGUCAGUCGGUUGUGAAAGUCAAGGGCUCAACCCUUGAAUGCCGGCCGAUACUGCCGGGCUAGAGUCCGGAAGAGGUGAAUGGAAUUCCUGGUGUAGCGGUGAAAUGCGCAGAUAUCAGGAGGAACACCGAUGGCGAAGGCAGCUCACUGGGACGGUACUGACGCUGAGACGCGAAAGCGUGGGGAGCAAACAGG